Molecule: ribosomal RNA, 430 nt
Filed under: uncultured bacterium
Lineage: Bacteria
Description: bacterial SSU rRNA
Rfam family: Bacterial small subunit ribosomal RNA
Source: RNAcentral
UGGGGAAUAUUGGGCAAUGGCCGAAAGGCUGACCCAGCGACGCCGCGUGUGGGAGGAAGCCCUUCGGGGUGUAAACCACUGUCGGGGGGGACGAACGGGUUGUGGGGGAAUACCCCGCAGCCGUGACGGUACCCCUAGAGGAAGCACCGGCUAACUCUGUGCCAGCAGCCGCGGUAAUACAGAGGGUGCGAGCGUUGUUCGGAAUCACUGGGCGUAAAGCGCGCGCAGGCGGGCGUGUAAGUCAGAAGUGAAAUUCCGGGGCUCAACCCCGGCGCUGCUUCUGAUACUGCACGUCUGGAGACCGGUAGAGGCUGGUGGAAUUCCCGGUGUAGCGGUGGAAUGCGUAGAGAUCGGGAAGAACACCCGUGGCGAAGGCGGCCAGCUGGGCCGGUUCUGACGCUGAGGCGCGAAAGCGUGGGGAGCAAACAGG